UUUCGUUCACCCAUAAUAUUGGGCGCAGUUCGAGUCAUACCAGGGAACGGGGGAUGAC
Molecule: non-coding RNA, 58 nt
Organism: Prochlorococcus marinus str. MIT 9515
Lineage: Bacteria; Bacillati; Cyanobacteriota; Cyanophyceae; Synechococcales; Prochlorococcaceae
Source: Rfam